GUCUAUGCCCAUACCACCCUGAAGACAUCCAGUCUUGUCUGAUCUUGGAAACAGCAUGGUUGAGCAUGCUUAGUACUUGGAUGGGAGAGACU
RNAcentral lists this ribosomal RNA (92 nucleotides) under Nannospalax galili (Upper Galilee mountains blind mole rat). Lineage: Eukaryota; Metazoa; Chordata; Mammalia; Rodentia; Spalacidae. The record is from RNAcentral.